AUGGAUUUUCAGGUGCAGAUUUUCAGCUUUCCUACUAAUCAGUGUCACAGUGUCCAAUGGACAAAUUGUUCUCACCCAGUCUCCAGCAUCCAUGGCUGCAUCUCAAGGGGAAAGGGUCACCAUGACAUGUGUUGCCAGCUCAAGUGUAAGUACCAGUUAUUUGCACUGGUACCAGCAGAAACCAGGAGCCUCCCCUAAGCUCCUGAUUUAUAAAACAUCCAAUCUGGCUUCUGGAGUCCCAGCUCGCUUCAGUGGCAGUGGGUCUGGGACCUCUUACUCUCUCACAAUCAGCAGCAUGGAGGCUGAAGAUGCUGCCACUUACUACUGUCAGCAGUGGAAUUCUCAUCCAAUAACUGAUGGAAGUGGA
Non-coding RNA from Onychomys torridus (southern grasshopper mouse), 367 nucleotides. Lineage: Eukaryota; Metazoa; Chordata; Mammalia; Rodentia; Cricetidae. The record is from the annotation of a RefSeq genome assembly.